This 502-nucleotide long non-coding RNA is filed under the name Brassica napus (rape). Its description in RNAcentral is "long non-coding RNA (BNAP_LNC020485)". The record is from RNAcentral. Lineage: Eukaryota; Viridiplantae; Streptophyta; Magnoliopsida; Brassicales; Brassicaceae.
GUAAGUACAAACGUCUAUGUACCUACGCAAAUCUCCACAAACAUGGCAGCCAGUGCAAACGUCUCUGCACCCCGCAAAACUCCUCAAACAUAGGCAGCCAGUACAGACGUCUCUGCACCCCGCAAAUCUCCACACUUGGACUCGCAUAUAUAUACAUAUAUAUAACAAUUCUUAACAUCAAUCAUUUCAAUCAACAGUUGAAUCCUCUAUUAUCCUAUUUUCGGUUUAUCAAUCAAUAAUAAUAAUAAACAAGCAAGACUCUCAAACAGACUCGAUUCACAGAGACGGAUCAUGUUUCGAAACUAAACUUUUCAUAACGGUAGUACGACUCUCAAACAGACUCGAUUCACAGAGACGGAUCAUGUUUCGAAACUAAACUUUUCAUAACGGUAGUACUAAACUAGUUCGGGAUUUAAACGGAAAAGCCCUCACCUUAGCAACAAGAAGAAGUGGUAUCUAUGAACUCCAGAUGCUCAAAUAGACUCCAAAUCUGAAAUCAGGG